RNAcentral lists this ribosomal RNA (1327 nucleotides) under Arthrobacter sp. B2a2-09. RNAcentral's name for it is "bacterial SSU rRNA". It matches the Rfam family "Bacterial small subunit ribosomal RNA", at positions 194 to 1533 of the family's 1533-position model. The record is from RNAcentral. Lineage: Bacteria; Bacillati; Actinomycetota; Actinomycetes; Micrococcales; Micrococcaceae.
UGGUGGUGGAAAGCUUUUGCGGUUUUGGAUGGACUCGCGGCCUAUCAGCUUGUUGGUGGGGUAAUGGCCUACCAAGGCGACGACGGGUAGCCGGCCUGAGAGGGUGACCGGCCACACUGGGACUGAGACACGGCCCAGACUCCUACGGGAGGCAGCAGUGGGGAAUAUUGCACAAUGGGCGAAAGCCUGAUGCAGCGACGCCGCGUGAGGGAUGACGGCCUUCGGGUUGUAAACCUCUUUCAGUAGGGAAGAAGCGAAAGUGACGGUACCUGCAGAAGAAGCGCCGGCUAACUACGUGCCAGCAGCCGCGGUAAUACGUAGGGCGCAAGCGUUAUCCGGAAUUAUUGGGCGUAAAGAGCUCGUAGGCGGUUUGUCGCGUCUGCUGUGAAAGACCGGGGCUCAACUCCGGUUCUGCAGUGGGUACGGGCAGACUAGAGUGAUGUAGGGGAGACUGGAAUUCCUGGUGUAGCGGUGAAAUGCGCAGAUAUCAGGAGGAACACCGAUGGCGAAGGCAGGUCUCUGGGCAUUAACUGACGCUGAGGAGCGAAAGCAUGGGGAGCGAACAGGAUUAGAUACCCUGGUAGUCCAUGCCGUAAACGUUGGGCACUAGGUGUGGGGGACAUUCCACGUUUUCCGCGCCGUAGCUAACGCAUUAAGUGCCCCGCCUGGGGAGUACGGCCGCAAGGCUAAAACUCAAAGGAAUUGACGGGGGCCCGCACAAGCGGCGGAGCAUGCGGAUUAAUUCGAUGCAACGCGAAGAACCUUACCAAGGCUUGACAUGAACCGGUAACGCCUGGAAACAGGUGCCCCGCUUGCGGUCGGUUUACAGGUGGUGCAUGGUUGUCGUCAGCUCGUGUCGUGAGAUGUUGGGUUAAGUCCCGCAACGAGCGCAACCCUCGUUCUAUGUUGCCAGCGCGUGAUGGCGGGGACUCAUAGGAGACUGCCGGGGUCAACUCGGAGGAAGGUGGGGACGACGUCAAAUCAUCAUGCCCCUUAUGUCUUGGGCUUCACGCAUGCUACAAUGGCCGGUACAAAGGGUUGCGAUACUGUGAGGUGGAGCUAAUCCCAAAAAGCCGGUCUCAGUUCGGAUUGGGGUCUGCAACUCGACCCCAUGAAGUCGGAGUCGCUAGUAAUCGCAGAUCAGCAACGCUGCGGUGAAUACGUUCCCGGGCCUUGUACACACCGCCCGUCAAGUCACGAAAGUUGGUAACACCCGAAGCCGGUGGCCUAACCCUUGUGGGGGGAGCCGUCGAAGGUGGGACCGGCGAUUGGGACUAAGUCGUAACAAGGUAGCCGUACCGGAAGGUGCGGCUGGAUCACCUCCUUU